Molecule: transfer RNA, 77 nt
Filed under: Niveispirillum fermenti
Lineage: Bacteria; Pseudomonadati; Pseudomonadota; Alphaproteobacteria; Rhodospirillales; Azospirillaceae
Also listed under: 7 other names
Description: tRNA-Pro
Rfam family: tRNA
About the family: Transfer RNA (tRNA) molecules are approximately 80 nucleotides in length. Their secondary structure includes four short double-helical elements and three loops (D, anti-codon, and T loops).
Source: RNAcentral
CGGAGCGUAGCGCAGCCUGGUAGCGCGGCUGGUUUGGGUCCAGCAGGCCGGAGGUUCGAAUCCUCUCGCUCCGACCA